This 424-nucleotide ribosomal RNA is filed under the name uncultured bacterium. RNAcentral's name for it is "bacterial SSU rRNA". It matches the Rfam family "Bacterial small subunit ribosomal RNA", at positions 355 to 776 of the family's 1533-position model. The record is from RNAcentral.
UUUCGAAUCGUUCACAAUGGGGGCAACCCUGAUGGCGCGACGCCGCGUGGGGGAUGAAGGUCUUCGGAUUGUAAACUCCUGUCAUUGGGGACUAAUGGCCAGGCUCAUACCCUGGUUUGAAUUAACCCAAAGAGGAAGCAGUGGCUAACUCUGUGCCAGCAGCCGCGGUAAUACAGAGACUGCAAGCGUUACUCGGAUUCACUGGGCGUAAAGGGAGCGCAGGCGGACUCAUGUGUCGGACGUGAAAUACCGGGGCUUAACCCCGGUGCUGCGUCCGAAACUAUGAGUCUAGAGACUUGGAGGGGUAAGCGGAAUUCUUGGUGGAGCAGUGAAAUGCGUAGAUAUCAAGAGGAACACCAACGGCGAAGGCAGCUUACUGGAACGGUACUGACGCUGAGACGCGAAAGCGUGGGGAGCAAACAGG